AGAGCAGGGUUCAUUGCAACAUCCUCCACAUUUGGAGUGAGGCUUGAACGCUUCAAUCUCCCUCUGAUAACACUGUCCAGGAAAUGACAAAGCCUUUGCAAAACCAGCGCAAUGGAUCUUGGCUGGGUGAACCUCGGGUUGUUGCACAGAUUUUUUUUCUGUGGCUUUGCUGAAUCACAGCAAAACCCCACAACAUCCCACCACGGCUCUUCUCACCUCUCUGACACUUCUGCCACCACCUUUUCCACUGCAGCAGAUCCCAAGGCUCAGUUACACCCAGGUUUUCCCCACACUGGAGGAAUCUGAUUUUGAUGUCGCUGCUUCCAAGUUUAUUAAGUGACAGCCCGCUGGUUUUAGAAAGAAGCUCCCCCCAAAACGCAGUCCUUUUACCCGUGGGCUGCUGGCUGCUAUUUCUGCAGUGACCUCCAUAGCGUAAAGCUUUCUCCUGCAGCCAAACUCAUACUCAUCCAUCCCCUCUGUUUCUGCAGUCCUCUGCCUACCAAGGCAGAGAAAUCUGCUGCACGGCUUUGGGGUGGGCUGCCAGCUCCUUUUGUACCCACUGUCCUAAGUGCAAGCACUGAGUACAGACUUCUCUGCACUGAGCUGGAGAAAGAAAACACUGGUGUUCUUCCAGAGGUCGGACUGGUGGCAAGGAAGAAGGGAUGCUGUGAUGCUGUGCAUCAGUGCACUGGGCUGCUGGACGUGUCCAAAGUGCUGAAGGUGAUCCCAACAUCAGCCCUGUUUGGGGAGAUCUCCAUGCUGGAGGCAUCAGCACAGCCACCGGGAGGUGAGCCACCUCCUGCCCUCCUCCAAGCACUGCCCCACUGCUGGGCACAAGCCUCUACCCAUGCACAUGCCAGCAGGCUCCUGAGCCGCUCUGUUCUUCCUGCCAUGACGCUUUCCAGGCAGAUGGUUCCAGGUCAGGGCUGCCCAACACUUCUGCCAGCGCGGGAGUGUGAAGGGCUGGGAAUGAGCAGCUGAGGGCGAGGGGCCCUGCUGCAUCACGGCCGGAUUAUGGCAGCUUAACACAUCCAUCAGAACCCAGACAGCCUGGCUGCAGGGGUGGUGCAGGGAGGCUGCUGGGGAUCGGCACAAUUGCACAGCUUUGCGGGAAAAGGUACCAUACCCCCAGCAUCCCCUUCCCAGAGGGGAUCCCAGGCUUCAAGCUGCUCCCACAUCACCUCUGCAUCCCCUGGGUCUGUGUCCAGCACGCUGGGAUGGCGUCAGACCUAUCUGCUCCGCAACCAAGGGUGAGGCAACACGGUGGAAAUGGCUUUGCUGGCUGAUCGUGUUGCUUGCUUUGUCAGCACUCAGAAAAAUGCUGCACACAAAAAUGUGCCCUCCUCAGCAGCUGGGAGCAGCGACGGAGCCUCGUGGCUCAUGGAAAUACCCUGCCCUGCACAUCUGUGUUUAGGCAGCGUGAUUCAGCAGCCCUGGAUGUCACCCAUCCCAUCGGCCUUGUAUCUCUGAGCAUCUCCAGGGGCACGUCACACAGCUCAGGUCUUCUCUGCAGCAACCAUGACCACGGUGGAGAUACAUGCAUCCCUCCAUGGCCGUCCCUGGGCUCUGCCUGCAGUGGGAUCCCACUCCUCCUCCUCUGCCCUCUGGAAGGCAUUCACUGGUUCCUCCACAGUCUCAGUCCUUCCUGAUGAGCUCAGUGACACACCACCCACCUGCCACCAGAAAGGUUUUUAAAGCCAGUAGAAAGAACUGACCCAGCACGGAGCUCUUGGGAAAAGGCUUUGGGCUUCUCUUGGUUGCCAGAGAGCUGCAUCCUGCGCAAGAAACCUGAGAAGCUCCAGCUUUGCAAUGACUCUGCUGUGCGCUUGAGCUCCCGUGGAACCGUGAUCAAACCUUUGACAGGGAAGGCAGACCUUUCUGGUAGCUGUGGUAGAAGUGACAGCUUUGGCUGAUGCAAGAGCACGGGGAGUUCGUUAUCCCCAAAACAAUCUGAUGUGCUGGAAAACUGCUAAGUGUGGGG
Numida meleagris (helmeted guineafowl) is the source of this 1981-nucleotide long non-coding RNA. Lineage: Eukaryota; Metazoa; Chordata; Aves; Galliformes; Numididae. The record is from Ensembl.